Molecule: ribosomal RNA, 440 nt
Filed under: uncultured bacterium
Lineage: Bacteria
Description: bacterial SSU rRNA
Rfam family: Bacterial small subunit ribosomal RNA
Source: RNAcentral
UGGGGAAUCUUGCGCAAUGGGCGAAAGCCUGACGCAGCGACGCCGCGUGGAGGAUGAAGCUUUUCGGAGUGUAAACUCCUGUUGCCCGGGACGAAUCCCUUCUUCGUGGAGGUUGACGGUACCGGGUGAGGAAGCACCGGCUAACUCCGUGCCAGCAGCCGCGGUAAUACGGAGGGUGCGAGCGUUGUCCGGAAUCACUGGGCGUAAAGGGCGCGUAGGUGGCGCGGUAAGCGGGUGGUGAAAGUCCGGGGCUCAACCCCGGAUCGGCCAUGCGAACUGCCGCGCUGGAGCACUGUAGAGGCAGGUGGAAUUCCGGGUGUAGCGGUGGAAUGCGUAGAGAUCCGGAAGAACACCGGUGGCGAAGGCGGCCUGCUGGGCAGUUGCUGACACUGAGGCGCGACAGCGUGGGGAGCAAACAGGAUUAGAUACCCCCGUAGUCC